RNAcentral lists this ribosomal RNA (1523 nucleotides) under uncultured prokaryote. Its description in RNAcentral is "partial 16S ribosomal RNA". It matches the Rfam family "Bacterial small subunit ribosomal RNA". The record is from RNAcentral.
AGAGUUUGAUCAUGGCUCAGAUUGAACGCUGGCGGUAUGCUUAACACAUGCAAGUCGAACGCGAACGUUUCUUCGAAACAAGUAGAGUGGCGGACGGGUGAGUAACGCGUAGGAAUCUGCCUAGUAGUGGGGGACAACUUAGGGAAACUUAAGCUAAUACCGCAUACGCCCUACGGGGGAAAGCAGGGGAUCUUCGGACCUUGCGCUAUUAGAUGAGCCUGCGUCGGAUUAGCUAGUUGGUAGGGUAAAGGCCUACCAAGGCAACGAUCCGUAGCUGGUUUGAGAGGACGAUCAGCCACACUGGGACUGAGACACGGCCCAGACUCCUACGGGAGGCAGCAGUGGGGAAUAUUGGACAAUGGGCGAAAGCCUGAUCCAGCCAUGCCGCGUGUGUGAAGAAGGCCUUAGGGUUGUAAAGCACUUUCAGUAGGGAGGAACAGGAUGAGAUUAAUACCUCGUCUACUGACGUUACCUACAGAAGAAGCACCGGCUAACUCCGUGCCAGCAGCCGCGGUAAUACGGAGGGUGCAAGCGUUAAUCGGAAUUACUGGGCGUAAAGCGUUCGUAGGCGGUUAUUUAAGCAAGAUGUGAAAGCCCAGGGCUCAACCUUGGAACUGCAUUUUGAACUGGUUAACUAGAGUGUGGUAGAAGAUAGUGGAAUUUCCGGUGUAGCGGUGAAAUGCGUAGAGAUCGGAAGGAACAUCAGUGGCGAAGGCGGCUAUCUGGACCAAUACUGACGCUGAGGUGCGAAAGCGUGGGGAGCAAACAGGAUUAGAUACCCUGGUAGUCCACGCCGUAAACGAUGUCAACCUAGCCGUUGGGGGGCUUGUCCCCUUAGUGGCGCAGCUAACGCGAUAAGUUGACCGCCUGGGGAGUACGGCCGCAAGGUUAAAACUCAAAUGAAUUGACGGGGGCCCGCACAAGCGGUGGAGCAUGUGGCUUAAUUCGAUGCAACGCGAAGAACCUUACCUACCCUUGACAUACAGAGAACUUUCUAGAGAUAGAUUGGUGCCUUAGGGAACUCUGAUACAGGUGCUGCAUGGCUGUCGUCAGCUCGCGUCGUGAGAUGGUGGGUUAAGUCCCGUAAUGAGCGCAACCCUUAUCCUUAGUUGCUACACCAUUUAGUUGGGCACUCUAAGGAGACUGCCGGUGAUAAACCGGAGGAAGGUGGUGACGACGUCAAGUCAUCAUGGCGCUUAUGUGUAGGGCUACACACGUGCUACAAUGGCCGGUACAGAGGGGUGCAAACGUGCGAGAGUAAGCUAAUCCCUUAAAGCCGGUCCUAGUCCGGAUUGGAGUCUGCAACUCGACUCCAUGAAGCUGGAAUCGCUAGUAAUCGCGGAUCAGAAUGCCGCGGUGAAUUCGUUCCCGGGCCUUGUACACACCGCCCGUCACACCAUGGGAGUGGGUUGCAAAAGAAGUGGGUAGGCUAACCUUCGGGAGGCCGCUCACCACUUUGUGAUUCAUGACUGGGGUGAAGUCGUAACAAGGUAGCCCUAGGGGAACCUGGGGCUGGAUCACCU